GUUAAUUAUUUUAGCUAGUAUAUUAGUUGAUUUUCUAGGUUUCUCUAAGUAUAACAUUUUAUCAAAUCCAGAGAGUGACAAUUUUGUUUCCUCAUUGCCUAUUCUUAAUCCCUCAAUUUCUUCUUGUUGUUUUAUUGCUAUAGUUAGCAUUUCUAGAACAAUAUUGAAUAAUUGUGGUAAUAAUGGACAUCCUUGCUUCACCCGCGAUCUUACUGAGGAUUGUAGUUUAUCCUCAUUAUAGAAGACUCACACUCUUGAUCAGACUCAUCCUAAUGAAAUCAGCGACAAUGGUAACAGUUUUCCCCACUAACCAUCACAGUCAUUACCUAUUCUAACAGAAUGCAAUGCAGCUUGAAAGAAUUGCUAAAAAAUAAAUGAGAGAAUGAAGUUCAAUUAAAUGAUGAGACUAUUGAAGUCUGAGGCCACUUUGAAAGACUUCAGAACUCUAAAAAUGCAAUAGCCAAUGAUGACUCCAAAGCAUCAAAGAUGAAGACAAAAUCCCCAUUCCAACAGAAAGGUUAAAGAUAUAAAAUUCCAAAUGUAUCUUACAUUUUGGGACAUGACCAACAUAAAGCUUUUUGCUCAUAUUUUUUGAUUGAUAUGGUUUUCUUUUUUUUUUAAAUUAUUUAGUUGGGGUAGAAGGGGUGGGAGAGAAAAUAAAUUGUUAAUCAGGAUGAUUAUACA
RNAcentral lists this long non-coding RNA (684 nucleotides) under Monodelphis domestica (gray short-tailed opossum). Its description in RNAcentral is "lncRNA (ENSMODG00000036150.2)". Lineage: Eukaryota; Metazoa; Chordata; Mammalia; Didelphimorphia; Didelphidae. The record is from RNAcentral.